This is a non-coding RNA of Ceratotherium simum simum (southern white rhinoceros), 222 nucleotides long. Lineage: Eukaryota; Metazoa; Chordata; Mammalia; Perissodactyla; Rhinocerotidae. The record is from RefSeq and is a predicted model, not a curated record.
UUGUUUUCAAUAGAAAAGCUUUCCAGUCCGUACCUUGUAAGGGAGAAACCCACCAAGGUAACCCAGAUGUACUAGAAAGGGUAAGUUGGCCACAUAUCCAACAAUUGGACUGAUUUUUGUGUGUGGCAAAGGAGUGAGCCCAUUGUGAAAAAAACAUUGCCAUUAGAGGCCCAUUCAGAUGUGGAUUGAAAAAACAAACAUGGUAUCAGGAAAAUCUUAAAU